RNAcentral lists this ribosomal RNA (127 nucleotides) under uncultured Serratia sp. RNAcentral's name for it is "partial 16S ribosomal RNA". It matches the Rfam family "Bacterial small subunit ribosomal RNA", at positions 355 to 475 of the family's 1533-position model. Lineage: Bacteria; Pseudomonadati; Pseudomonadota; Gammaproteobacteria; Enterobacterales; Yersiniaceae. The record is from RNAcentral.
UGGGGAAUAUUGCACAAUGGGCGCAAGCCUGAUGCAGCCAUGCCGCGUGUGUGAAGAAGGCCUUCGGGUUGUAAAGCACUUUCAGCGAGGAGGAAGGUGGUGAGCUUAAUACGCUCAUCAAUGACGU